UAGUUCUUCCGAGAAGGAAUGUGAAGUUGUGAAGGGGGAGUUUUCAGGAGCAGUGUAAAAAAUUACGCCUUCAGUCGAAUGUUCAUGAAACUCACGGUACUAGCACCUUCGCCGACUGGUGGGAUAUCUACACCAAAUAUUUCUUCGGCCCGUCGGUCGAAAAGAUCACAAAUAAAAUUUUCAAUGCUCGACUGAAGAAAACACCUGCUCCAAAAUCCAAAGAGACAGCCCAAGGUACUAUAUAUUUUUACUGUAUUGCUUGUAUAUACAUUUAAACAAACAUCUUUGAAUUAAUACUUCAUUAGUUUUUUCAGCUAGUCACUCAAUUAAACAUGCCGAAGUGGUUGCAAUCCUUGUGGCCCAGAGAAAACUGGCCUUUCAACCAAAAACGAUUGUUGCUAUCGUGGCUGCUUCUCCCAUAUAACUUAGGCCCUUCCAACCCCCACAAACGAUGUUGCUGAAAAGGCCACUACCACCUUGACCAUUUGUCGUAAGGUGGCUUUGACUUCACCUAGGCCAGUAGACACUGCUACUGGGUCAACAACCGCAGUCAAACGAGCUCAUCCUUUGACCAAGGAAACUGGUGUCAUAGCUCAACCCUCAAAAUGGGUGAAGAGAAUGGCUAAGAAAAAAGAACAUGAGAUUCUCGUUAUCUUGAGCUAAGACACAAGAACCAGUAUUCCUAAAGUCGCUCAAGGUAUCCAUAGGAACUCUACUAGACUUUCCAGCCUCAUCUGCUGAUCAACUCCCCACUUCAUAACCUGUCGACUUGGUUGAUCAGUUGGUACAAAACCUGACAGUCGAGGAACAAGUAGUUCAUCAAGUGAUCGAUCCCCAACUUGAC
RNAcentral lists this long non-coding RNA (844 nucleotides) under Malus domestica (apple). RNAcentral's name for it is "long non-coding RNA (MDOM_LNC013006)". Lineage: Eukaryota; Viridiplantae; Streptophyta; Magnoliopsida; Rosales; Rosaceae. The record is from RNAcentral.